GCUUUAGAAAUCUCCAUGCGCUGUACCAAAUAUUUUAAUCCAUUUGUUCAAGGACUAUAGCAUUAAAGUUGUUGGCUUUGUAUAAAGAUGAUGUAACUGCUAAACGUGAUGAGAUCAGAAAAGAUCGAGCCAAACAGAGAGCAAGAGACAGGAACAUUGCUCGAGCUGCACUAGACAAAAGAUUUGUCCCCGAUAAAGACUUUGAAGGCACAGAUCGUAACCGGGGCGUGAGGGUUCAGUCCAGUUUACGCGAGAUGUAGAGGAGGAUCCUUUCAACUUGGACAGAUUUAUCACGGAGGCUAAGAAGGGCCAAAAGAGGUCAGCGGAUGAGUCUGGCUCCUCCCGGGACUACGACGGCAGCAGCAGUAAAGGAAAUGGAAGCAAGAAACGAAGAGACCAAUGACCAUUCACGAUUUGGACGUUGUUGUAUCACUUUCGUAUUUCAAUAUCUGUCCCUAAGAAUUGCGAACUGUGACGGCUGUUUUGAGAGGAAUCUGGAUAGCGUAUAUAUCCAGGGAUUAUUUACAUGUUGCGAGAAGUUUAAUUGCCACUAAAAUUGGGGUGAGUUGGAUACAUUUGGGGGGAAGAGAUGAAUUUCAGUUGCAAAAAGUUACUGCAGUAGAUUUUGUUUUAGCAAGUUUCAACUGAUAUGAAAAUGGAUGUACCAGUACUGCAAAGGAUUUUUCUGUCCUGAAUUUUCAUGGCAGUUUGAAACCUCUCAUUCAGUGACGUGAGCCUCAGUUGGAAGGACUGCUAGCCACACGCAGGCAUUGGGUGUUCGUUGUGCUGGGGGAGUGAGACAGGUGUUAUUGAUUUGACCUAUCUGGUGGACGUUUAGACACCUUUUACUGCUUACACCCAGAUAUGAGACCGGUGUGUGUGUGGUGCAGCGGUAAGACGCUUCGCCAUCACUUGUAGAAGACAAAAGUUCUUCAUCUCGUUCUGUCUUCUGAGAUGUUGUAUCCCUCUCAGCCCGGAUUGGCACUGGCAGUCGGGGUCAAUUAAUCUUACCUCCCAUAUGUUCAAAAUAGUGUUGGAGUGGGCGUAAAACACAUACAAUUGCAAGGUUUAUUUUACAGAUAAGCAAGAUGGAGAAAUGGGUGUCUGUUUGUCACAGGCAUUUUGAUGGAUGUUUGUAUAUUGUCUAUUCUUUGUGAGAUGCCAGUAAAAGUGGGGAAAUAAUAUUGUUUGCAAGGGAUUAGUUGUCAGAAUAGGGAAACUCAUUUUUAGAUUUUAAAAAUAUUUAGUAUGUUUUGCUUGCAAUUGUUGAUGAGGAUGUGUUAAGGAGCAAUGUUACAAAAACGUAUAAUAAUAAAAAAUGAAAAUGAAUACACGGACGCUGCAAAUGUUAUUUACAAAUUGGUGUGACAACCACUUCCUUUCUCUUAUUGUAAAAAAGACAAAUUUAUUAAUAAUAGACUUUAAAGUUUUAAAAGACCAAUUGCAACCACUGUUGAUUAAAGAUGAGGAAGUAGAGGUUGUAAAUCUUUACAAAUAUCUGGGAAUAGCCGUCGAUGACCAGCUUGACUGGCAUCCCCACGCUGCUCUUUUGCAUAUAAAAAUAAAGCAAAAAAUGUUCCUUCAGGAGAUUAAGAAGUUUUCAAGUAGAUGAUUAGAUCAUGUCCCUUUUUUAGCAUUCUUCUAUGGUCAAAAGCGUGUUACUAUUUUGUAUUUGUUGCUGGGCUGGAAACUGUAGGGUGAAACAGAACCACUAAAAAAGCCAGCAAGAUCUCUGUAUACAUAUGAUUUUACUAAAAUUGAUGAAUAAAAAUGAUCAGUAGCAUUAUAAUUAUAAACGGCCUAUCACACCCCCUUUCCACAUGAAUUGUAACAUCACACAGCGGCAGAUAUGUACCACUAAGAACAAAGAAAGAAAGAUACAAAAGAAGUUUUUAUUUACCAUCUAGUGUAAGUAUAAGGCUACUUUCAGAAUAAUAUUCUAUGUGUAUUGUUGUUUCGAAUAUGCUAUAUGUUAUAUGUAUUCACUCUAAAGGUCUUGUGAUAACUUCUUACAUGUGGUUGAAUGAUGCAUCUGAUGUGAUAUGUACAUUAUUGUCAGCAUUAUUUUUCUUCUCAUAUUACAUUUUAAUGAGAGUAAUAACAUGUAUAUAUAAUUAAAUUUCUUUCUAUGUAUACCUUCAUGUGUUUUUACAGUCCUGUACAGUCAAGAAAAAUUUCCCCCUGGGACAAUAAAGUUACAUUGUCUUAUCUAUUUUGGCCAAAUUUUAGCGGAUGUCAUUUGUGAACGGUCCCUAAUAUCAAGUGCAAAGCAGUUCCAUCACGUCUCUAUUUGAUGCGGUUUAACUUGCGAACCUUUUAGUACCGUAACAUGUUUUGUUGUUCUUUUUCCCUCCAAGUGAUCAGGCACGACUUAAAAGAAACCCACAUAUUAUUUUUUUAAAAUCAGGACGGGGAAAAAAGAGCUCUCGCAUUUGUAGUUGUAGGCACUCUGUCAAUGUUAGUACAUUCAUAAUAUGUACAUGUAUGUGGAGAGGCAGCGAAUACUUACAGAUUAAAAGAGAUGUCAGACAGAGAUGUACACAUGUAUACUUUCAACAGACCUAUUCUCCCUGUAUAGUGAAAACAUCAUGAGGCACAUAGAAGAAAUGCCACGUAUCUCGAUAGGGGGACAUAACGUAAAUAAUCUUAAGAUAUAUAUAUAUGCAGACGACACCGUCCUAAUAGUUGAAGAAGAAGAAGACCUACAGGAUCUAUUAAAUGUAAUCGUACAAGAGAGUGACAACAUGGGCCAAAGUCGAAACAGUAAUCAUCAAGAAAACUGAAACAAUGGUGGUAAGCAGAAAAACUCCAACCCAAACUUGCAAAUUCAAAAUCAAUGGUACACUCAAGCAAGUACAACAUUUUAAAUAUUUGGGGACCAAUAUAUCAUCAGGCAAAUUAAAUUGGACACACAAUACAGAAAGAAGCAUUGGAGAAUAUUGUAGCAACAGGCACGUUUGAUCGAAAGAGAGGCAGAGGCAGACAGAGGGAAAAGAUACUGGACAAGUUAACAACAUGGCUGGGAACAGCAAGAACAAUAGACACUAUUGCUGCAACGUAGGGCAGAGAGAAGUGGAGGUUCAUGAUCACCCACGCCAGUCAGCAAGGCACCGGAUGAUGAUGAUGAUGAUGAUGUGGAGAGGCAGGGGACAGGUUGCAUUUGGACGGAAGGGUAAAAUAAAAUUUGCCAUAUAUUCGU
RNAcentral lists this unclassified non-coding RNA (3199 nucleotides) under Aplysia californica (California sea hare). RNAcentral describes it as "sNW domain-containing protein 1-like, transcript variant X4". The record is from RNAcentral. Lineage: Eukaryota; Metazoa; Mollusca; Gastropoda; Aplysiida; Aplysiidae.